RNAcentral lists this ribosomal RNA (253 nucleotides) under uncultured bacterium. Its description in RNAcentral is "partial 16S ribosomal RNA". It matches the Rfam family "Bacterial small subunit ribosomal RNA", at positions 524 to 776 of the family's 1533-position model. The record is from RNAcentral.
UACAGAGGUCUCAAGCGUUGUUCGGAUUCAUUGGGCGUAAAGGGUGCGUAGGCGGCCCGGUAAGUCGGGUGUGAAAUCUUGGAGCUUAACUCCGAAACUGCAUUCGAUACUGCCGUGCUUGAGGACUGGAGAGGAGACUGGAAUUUACGGUGUAGCGGUGAAAUGCGUAGAUAUCGUAAGGAAGACCAGUGGCGAAGGCGGGUCUCUGGACAGUUCCUGACGCUGAGGCACGAAGGCCAGGGGAGCAAACGGG